AUUGAACGCUGGCGGAAUGCUUUACACAUGCAAGUCGAACGGCAGCACGGGUGCUUGCACCUGGUGGCGAGUGGCGAACGGGUGAGUAACAUAUCGGAACGUACCCAGUAAUGGGGGAUAACUAACCGAAAGGUUAGCUAAUACCGCAUACGCCCUGAGGGGGAAAGCGGGGGAUCGAAAGACCUCGCGUUAUUGGAGCGGCCGAUAUCUGAUUAGCUAGUUGGUGAGGUAAAGGCUCACCAAGGCGACGAUCAGUAGCAGGUCUGAGAGGAUGAUCUGCCACACUGGAACUGAGACACGGUCCAGACUCCUACGGGAGGCAGCAGUGGGGAAUUUUGGACAAUGGGGGAAACCCUGAUCCAGCCAUUCCGCGUGAGUGAAGAAGGCCUUCGGGUUGUAAAGCUCUUUCGGCAGGGAAGAAACGGUUCUGGAUAAUACCCGGAGCUAAUGACGGUACCUGAAGAAGAAGCACCGGCUAACUACGUGCCAGCCGCCGCAGUAA
RNAcentral lists this ribosomal RNA (502 nucleotides) under uncultured bacterium. RNAcentral describes it as "partial 16S ribosomal RNA". It matches the Rfam family "Bacterial small subunit ribosomal RNA", at positions 30 to 523 of the family's 1533-position model. The record is from RNAcentral.